RNAcentral lists this ribosomal RNA (563 nucleotides) under uncultured bacterium. RNAcentral describes it as "bacterial SSU rRNA". It matches the Rfam family "Bacterial small subunit ribosomal RNA", at positions 65 to 624 of the family's 1533-position model. The record is from RNAcentral.
AACGAGAAUCUUUGAACAGAUCUUUUCGGAGUGACGUUCAAAGAGGAAAGUGGCGGACGGGCGAGUAACGCGUGAGUAACCUGCCCAUAAGAGGGGGAUAAUCCAUGGAAACGUGGACUAAUACCGCAUAUUGUAGUUAAGUUGCAUGACUUGAUUAUGAAAGAUUUAUCGCUUAUGGAUGGACUCGCGUCAGAUUAGAUAGUUGGUGAGGUAACGGCUCACCAAGUCAACGAUCUGUAGCCGAACUGAGAGGUUGAUCGGCCGCAUUGGGACUGAGACACGGCCCAGACUCCUACGGGAGGCAGCAGUGGGGAAUAUUGCGCAAUGGGGGCAACCCUGACGCAGCAACGCCGCGUGCAGGAAGAAGGUCUUCGGAUUGUAAACUGUUGUCGCAAGGGAAGAAGACAGUGACGGUACCUUGUGAGAAAGUCACGGCUAACUACGUGCCAGCAGCCGCGGUAAUACGUAGGUGACAAGCGUUGUCCGGAUUUACUGGGUGUAAAGGGCGCGUAGGCGGACUGUCAAGUCAGUCGUGAAAUACCGGGGCUUAACCCCGGGGCUGC